This 334-nucleotide small RNA is filed under the name Pongo abelii (Sumatran orangutan). RNAcentral describes it as "retained intron". The record is from RNAcentral. Lineage: Eukaryota; Metazoa; Chordata; Mammalia; Primates; Hominidae.
ACAGUGUGAUGCGUUUGGAAGUUGGGAGCCUGUGCAGUGCCACACCGGGACUGGGCACUGCUGGUGUGUAGAUGAGAAAGGAGGGUUCAUCCCUGCCUCACUGACUGCCCGCUCUCUGCAGAUUCCACAGUGCCAGACAACCUGCGAGAAAUCUCGAACCAGUGGGCUGCUUUCCAGUUGGAAACAGGCUAGAUCCCAAGAAAACCCAUCUCCAAAAGACCUGUUCGUUCCAGCCUGCCUAGAGGUAAGGGUCUGGAAGCACAGGAUUGGAGCCGGGACUUGUCCCUGCUGGUCGAAGAUGAUUUUUCUUUUUGUUCAAUACAUUCAGCUUAGU